CCUACGGGAGGCAGCAGCAGGGAAUUUAGCGCAAUAGGGCGAAAGCCUAGACGCAGCAACGCCGCGUAGAGGGAAGAAGGCCUAGCGGGUCGUAAACCUUUUUUCGGGGAAGAAGUAGACGGUACCCGAGGAAUAAGCCUCGGCUAACUACGUACCAGCAGCCGCGGUAAUACGUAGGAGGCUAGCGUUGUCCGGAUUCAUUGGGCGUAAAGGGAGCGCAGGUGGCCGGGUUAGUCCGUGGUGCAAUCUCCAGGCUCAACUUGGAGAGGUUACGGAUACUAGCUCGGCUUGAGGACGGUAGAGGAGCACGGAAUUCCUGGUGUAGUGGUGAAAUGCGUAGAUAUCAGGGGGAACACCCGUGGCGAAAGCGGUGCUCUGGGCCGAUCCUGACACUCAGGCUCGAAAGCGUGGGGAGCAAACCGGAUUAGAUACCCGGGUAGUCCACGCCCUAAACGAUGAGUGCUGGGUAUGGGGGGUAUCGACCCCCCCCGUGCCGAAGCUCACGCGUUAAGCACUCCCGCCUGGGGACUACGGCCGCAAGGCUAAAACUCAAAGGAAUUGACGG
Molecule: ribosomal RNA, 565 nt
Filed under: uncultured bacterium
Lineage: Bacteria
Description: bacterial SSU rRNA
Rfam family: Bacterial small subunit ribosomal RNA
Source: RNAcentral